RNAcentral lists this long non-coding RNA (784 nucleotides) under Sus scrofa (pig). Its description in RNAcentral is "lncRNA (ENSSSCG00015032292.1)". The record is from RNAcentral. Lineage: Eukaryota; Metazoa; Chordata; Mammalia; Artiodactyla; Suidae.
GGAAGUGCCAGCCCAGAAGGAAGUAGAGGCAAUGCCUCGUGGCCCAAGGCAGGAUGAUGGACAGAACAGGGGGACCCAGGACGACCCACUCAUUCCAUCAGCAGCGUUUGUCGAAUGUCUACCACAUCCCAGAAGCGCUGCCAGCUACUUCCCUCGGGAUACAACAGGGAACAAACAGACAACAAGCCCUGUCUUCAUGGGAUUGAGUCUGAUGAGGAAGGAGACUGUCAACAAGACCAAGAGUAAAUCACUGAGGAUGGUAAUGAGCGCUACGGGGUGCGGGUGGGGGGGCGGACAGGAAAGGGGGAUGGAGAGGUUGGUGGGCAAGCCUGGAGGAGGUGAUACAGGACAGACUUGGAUAAAGGGAGGCAGCAGAGCUCCCAGGUCUGGGGAAGACCGUGUCAGACAAGGGAACAGCAAGUGCAAAGGUCCUGGGGUGCGAGCCUUUUCUGGGUCUCCCAGCCCCUUUGUUGGGCUGCUCCCUUGCAUGUUAUUCUCCCUUAAAUAUCAUCCUUGAAACUCUCAUCAGGUGUCUCUGGAUCUCCUUGUCCCCCGGGCUGCGCUCCCAAGUGUCCCUCCUAGUCUCCCUCAAGGAUCUGGGGGUUCUGUUCCCCCUAGAGGCGCCUUCUCCCCUGGAACCUGAGGCUUCUGGCUGGCACAGGUGCCCUUCCACUCUGUCUGGCAGUGCUGUGGUGGCCCUGGGGACAAGGUUCAGAGGAAGUUCCCAUGGGAGGGAUAGGGCAAUAGCUAGAAACCUUCUCCUUAGAGCUAGAAACAAAAGGUC